This is an RNA transcript of Condylostylus longicornis, 4955 nucleotides long. It is a transcript of the gene named polycomb protein Pcl, with no coding region annotated. The record is from RefSeq and is a predicted model, not a curated record. The transcript has 9 exons. NCBI's taxonomy places the organism in Eukaryota, Metazoa, Arthropoda, Insecta, Diptera, Dolichopodidae.
AAGAGUAAAGUAACCUCUUUUCCUAAGUCCUGGUUUUGGCGUUCAACCCCGCGUUUUUUGAGUGAUAAAUAAAUAAAAAACAGUUAAUUUUCCCUAUCUUAUUUAUUAGAUUACAUAGAUUAAUCAUUCUAAAAAAAGUUAAAUCAAAAACAAUUUACUGAAGUAUCUAAUUAAUGGCAGUUUUAUGUGGUUAGUGUUUCAUAUUUUGAAAAUGUGUAGACCAAUUUCUAAAAAAAUGAAUAAAUUUAUAUGAAUGCUGAUAAGCAUUAUAAUAUAAAAAUUCAACUUAUUUACAGCAGUAAUUAGUAACAAAGUUUAUUAUAUAAAUAUCAUAAUUCAAACUAUUAACAUUAAAAUUUAAAAACGUCGGCCAUUAUGGAUUUUCUGUUACUAAAAUUACAUUUAUAACUUUUUAAUAUUACAAACGACAAAAUGUCUAAUUUGGAAAAUAAUUUGCAACGCAAACCACCUGUAAAUUUUUGCCAAGACAAAAAUCAACAAUCACCACAAGAAAUAAAUUUGUCUAAUUCAUGUCAUGAAAAAAUUGAGAGCACAUUUAAUUCUAAUAAAACUGGCAAUUUCUUAAAUGGAAAUAGUGCUAUAAAAACUGAAAUUCAUGAAAAACAGUAUUAUUCUCAUCAAUCUGAUUCAGAGGAAACUUCAACACCAGGGUCAAAUACUAUACUCAUUACUACACAUAGCUAUUCUCCACGACUUCCAGCGGCUAAUACGAAGCAUUUGAAUAAUAAUAAGAGUUCUUCAUCAUCAAUAACUAUAGUAACAACGCACAAUUCGAGUGGUAGUGUUUCAGCGACAACCACAACAAAUAAUGGCAGUACAACAUCUAUUAAAAGUACAAGUGGUGAUUGCAUCCCAGGGUCAUAUCAAAAUUCCUUGAAUGGUCAUACUAGCGCGAAUUCGCCAGUUGUUUUGGAAGGUAUAAAUAUAUUAAUAAAUAACCAUUUUAAUGAGCCAAGUAGUAGCAACGUUAGUAAUAAUAGUAAUGAGUCUUCAAAUAAAAAUAUUGAUUUAUUGGACCAAAAAAACCGCGUUAACUCUUCUACCUCAGCUACAGAAAAAGAAGCAAAUGAAACAAUUAAGAGUGAGAAAAGUGAUAUUCAAACGGAACCUGAUUCCACCACAAAUGGUUUAUCACCAGAUAAAUCUUUAACUUUAAAGAAUUCAGUAUCAAAUUCUGACACUGGAUUUGGCAGUAGUAGUACUAGUAGUUUUUGUAGCAGCCAUAGCAGUAGUAGCAGUUGUAUAAGCAAUGAAAGCACAAAUAAUUAUAAGCCGAAAGUGUAUAAUUUCGCUGCCAAUAUGGAUGUUCUGGUACAAAAAAAGGAUGGAAAAUUUUACUUGGGAACAAUAAAAGACGUUUAUGCUGUUGAUGGAAAAUGUAUGAUAAAUUUUGAUGACAGCUCAGAGUAUUUAGCGGAUUUUGAUGAGCUUAAACGUUUGAGUUGCGAUUCAGAGAUAGAAUCAUCCCCGAUGUGUGUUGUCUGUAAGAAAUUUAAUGAAAAUGAUAUAGUGGAAUCGUGUGAAAAAUGCUCAAGAGGAUAUCACAGAAUGUGCGCUGAAAGUGGCUUUAGACAUGGAAUUUGGACAUGCAAAAUGUGCUGUGCUGAAAAUGGUUUAAGAACGGCAGAGGAAAGAAACACAGGUUUGAUUUUAAAUCGCCCUUUCAAGAAUAAGCAACUUCAAUUUCCAUAUGAUAUUCAAAGUUUAACGUGGGAUAGUAAACAUCGGAUCAAUAAUCAAGAAAUUUAUUGCUACUGCGGGAAACAUGGCAGAUGGGAUGAUAAAAUGUUGCAAUGUUUAAAGUGUUUACAAUGGUUUCACGAGAAAUGUAUUCAAUCUUUAUCGUAUCCACUUCUUUACGGUGAUCGGUUUUACGUUUUUGUGUGCUCUAUUUGCAACCAUGGUACGGAGGUGGUUAGACGUCUUAAAUUUGGUUGGAUAGAUCUGGUUCACUUAAUUAUGUUUAAUCUAACGAAACUUGAAAAUGACAAAAAAUAUCAUCAUAUUACGAAAACGAUUGCACCUUAUGCAAUCCAAAAUUGGUCGAAUUUUCAAUUAUCUGUAUCGAUGAAUAAUUUAUCUCAAAAGGAAAUUCAAAAGAAAAUAGUUAAUGUCCUAAACAAUAGUAGCAGAUUCAAAAGCGGAAAAGAAACUAAAAAAGGUUUCGUUUUUUGGGGAUUAAGAACUCUAAUACCUCCAUCACUACCAAAAAUUGCAAUUCCAAAAGGUGCAACUAAAAUAACAGAUCAGUUCCUUAAAUCGGUUUUGAAAUUGAAAUUUCUUUCGCCAACUAAAAAAUCGAAAAAUGCAAAUCUAGAAUCUGAGGAAGACGCAUUUAUAGACGACAAUGAAUCUAAAUUUAGUAGUGAUUUAAAAUUUUCAUCAGAAGAUGAAAUACCGAUAAAAAAUAUGAUUGAAAAAGAACUGGGUACAAUCAAAAGGGAAGUUAUCGAUAGUAAAACUGCAUUAAGUUCGCCUAUGGAACCUGGACAAAAGGAACAAAAAGAACAAUCGCGACGUAAGAAAAAACACACUUUCUUUCCAAGACUGUCAAACCCAUUAAUAAUUAAAAGUGAUACUGUCACUAAUUUUAAUAAUAAUGUUAAUAUUAGUAAUAAUAAUAUAAAUGAGAAAUCAGUAGGUUUAACUGUUGAUCUAAGUUUAUGCUGUGAUUCAUCCGAUGACAAUUCCAGUCUUGGACCUUUAGAUUUAAGAAUUCCGCCGCCUAAAAAUUUUUUUGGUCGAAAUAAUCCUUUUCGCCACAUUACACCGAAAAAGAUGCAAGAUAAUAGUAGCAGUUAUACUGAAAAUAACAGUAGUAGUACAAAAAAUUUUAACACACUCCCAUCAAAAUUAAAUCUAAAUUCAAUGCAUUCUAAAUGUUGUAUUAAUGAUGUUAGCAAGUCAAUUGAUUUAAGUUCAAAAUUAGUUGCUCUUAAAAAGUCUAGCGUGAAUUUGUUCAAUAGUAGACUACCGACUGAUUUUCAAGCUGCUGGGCAGUUUAGAAUUGUAAGAACCAUUAAAAGAAGAUUGAGUGCGAAAGAUUUAGUAAUUGGACCAAAUCAAGAAAUAAAAAAGCGACGUCUUAGAAGAUCAUCUGGAUCGAGUAAUGUUGAGGUAAUUAGCACAUCAAUUCAAUCUGUUUCGUCGUCAAAAUCCAAAAACAAUAUCAUAGCUACAUACCCCGUCGGUACACCAUUUAAUUUUAAUUCAAUAUCAGGUUUGAAAGUUAAGCCAAUUUUUAACAAAAAUAUGCCUUCAACAGUAAAUUCUUUACCUGGAUCAGUAUCUGGGCAUACAAUCUCAAAUACUCCAUUAGCAACAUCACCAAUAUUAGUUGAUAGUAGCAAUCCAUUUUCGAGUUUUUCUAAUAUGUCGAAUGUCCAGAAUUUAAAACAUCGUAGCUUACGUAAACGUGAUGAUAAAAAUUAUGCGGAAAACCGACGAAAUUCCAGUUCAAGUGCAAACAGUGCAGCCCUAACUUAUAAUUCAUCAAUGAACGCAGCGAAUAAUAAUUACAACAGUAACAACACCUGUAACAUUAUUUCCGGUGAAUCUAGUAGGAAUAAUAGCUUUGAGCAAUCAACUGAAGAUGAACUAUCUGAUUUGCAAUCUUCAGUUAACAUGUACUUCGGUGCUGUAGAGCGCAUACGAAAUGGUGAAAAAUUUAUUGUGCGCGGAAAAAGAACAUUAACAAACGGCAAGAUACAAUAUUUAAUGGAAUGGGAAGGUUGUUCACAAGUAGGUCAAUAAUGUGAAUAUUAGCCUACUUAAAAUCAAAUACUUCAAUAUUCUGUUCGUGUUUUUUUAUCUUUGUUUUUUUUUUGUGAAAUUAGUCAAAUUUUUGUUCUUGGUUUUUCUCGGAUUGAAAUGUCUUUUUAAAUAACAUAUUGUCUCCGACAUAAUUUUUUUUUUGUUGAUUUGAUGAUUUAAUUUUUAAAUAAUAAAAAACUUAUUAAAGCGCAUUAUGAACCAAGGUACUGCCAACUUUUUUAAUAUUUAUAAUUUUAUUCUAUUUUUAUGUUUUUAAAAAUUUAUCUCAAUUAAUACAUUAUGUGUUGCAUGUUGUUUUAGUUGUUUUAACUAAGUAAUUGAAUUGAUUAAAAUAUCUAAAAUAAAUUUCAAAAUCAAGUAAAAAUUUAGGGCGCUAAAUUUAACAACAUCUAUAAAUUUUAAUAUUUUAGUUUUUAGUUUAUUCAGUAUUUUAUUCCUUCGUUCUUAAUUUCUAAUAAUGUUUUGUUUAAAAUUUCGAUUGACAUCCGUCAAAUUUUUUUUUCAAAUAUUAAAAGAAAUGAUUAAACUAAUUUGUAAAACCAAUUUAUGAAAAUGGUAUUAGAAAUGUUAUAUUAGGGAAACUAUUGGAUAUGUAUGCAAUUACGGAUACAUUAAAACAGACACCAGAGAUAAAACAAGAAAAUCACGAUGGAAAAAAUAACUCUUCAAAGAGCACUUUUCAACAUUUCAUAGUUUACAAAUAUCAACCACCCGGUGCUUUUUAACUCGUGAAUUUAUACAUUUUUUCUAAUUUAAAAUGGUUGAACGAUUAAUUAUGAAUGAAGCAGAGUUUUACACGUUUUUGAAAACCUAUUCUGUCAUUUCCUGUUACGUAUCUGAUUGCAAAGCUAUCCGAAAUUUAUGAAAUAAGUAAGACUAGUUUAAUUCAUUAUCAUAAUUAAAAAAGAAUUAUUCCAGUAUACAGUACAUAUACAUGUAUAUAUACAUUCAAACGUUUAAAAAGAACUGAAUUAAUAUAAAUAAUCUAUUUAAAUUUUUUAUAGGUAUUAUGUAUACAUACGUAUGCUUAUAUAAAUAACAUUUAAACAUAUAAAUUGACGAAAUCUUAAUUUCAAGUUAGGAUUUUUACAUUUUUUCUGUUUGAAACAUAUCAUUUUGCAACCUUGUUUAUUAAAAAUAAAACAACCUUUCAGUGUCGU